GCGCACCAGGCGCGAAACUUUACAAUGUGCGAAAGCACGAUAAGGGAACUCUGAGUGCCUCCUAAGGAGGCUGUUCAGGUGUCUAAAAGCACCUGAAGGAAGGGCUGGGUAAGACCGGUGCCAGCCGCCGCGGUAACACCGGCAGCCCAAGUGGUAGCCACGUUUAUUGGGUCUAAAGCGUCCGUAGCCGGCUGGGUAAGUUCCUUGGGAAAUUUGGCUGCUUAACAGUCAAGCUUUCAGGGAAUACUGCCCGGCUUGGGACCGGGAGAGGUCAGAGGUACUCCAGGGGUAGGGGUGAAAUCCAUUAAUCCUUGGGGGACCACCGGUAGCGAAGGCGUCUGACCAGACCGGGUCCGACGGUGAGGGACGAAGGCUAGGGGCGCGAACCGGAUUAGAUACCCCUGUAGU
RNAcentral lists this ribosomal RNA (408 nucleotides) under uncultured microorganism. RNAcentral describes it as "bacterial SSU rRNA". It matches the Rfam family "Archaeal small subunit ribosomal RNA", at positions 330 to 745 of the family's 1478-position model. The record is from RNAcentral.